CCGACGGUGAGGAGAGAAGGAGGCGGAUGAAGUUGGAACGGGAAGUUGCCCCUUUUUGUCUGCCUGCGGAGCUGGGAACCUGGCCCGAAACGUCUACAGCAGAGAUGAUUGGCAAACAAGGAUCUGGAGAAGGAUGUGACAGUAUUCCACCUACACUAGAAGAAUACUGCCCUCAGUUUCUGAGCACUUCUUGGUGAUAGCUAUUUUAUCUUCUGGCAUGAGAUUUCCUUUUCCUUCACUGUUCGAUCUUCAUCAUGUGGGGAACAACCAGGGAAGAAAAAAUGAAGUGCGCCGCGCACAAUGUGGAGCAAUGCAUGUGGUUCACUGAUGGCUUUGAAAUCCAUGAAGACCCAUCUUUGUACUGCUGCCAUCAGCAAGCAUCUUCUCUUCUUCUGUCUUGUGUUGAGUUUCUAUCUGGGAUGAGGUGAAACUUCUGAUGAUCCUCAUUGGUGGUAUUGUCUCCAGAUCUCCAGCAAGAUGUUGUUCAGUACUACUGAAGAUUCAUCAUCACAAAUGUUCCAUCUUCAUUUCAUGUAAAGUAUUUUUUUUUUUUCUUUCUGAAGGAAAUUCUGACAUUGAUCAUUUCACAUUAGG
Musa acuminata subsp. malaccensis (wild Malaysian banana) is the source of this 594-nucleotide non-coding RNA. The record is from RefSeq and is a predicted model, not a curated record. Lineage: Eukaryota; Viridiplantae; Streptophyta; Magnoliopsida; Zingiberales; Musaceae.